GUGUGUGGCAGGCUGCAUCACCACUUGAUCCACCUUGGACAAGUGGUUUUUUUGUUUCAAGAGCCAGCUUGAGUGACAGGUGACAGCUCCUGGGAGUCUCUGUUGAGGAUUGGAGUCUUCGUGGAAGAGAGUGCUGGGAUCGAUUAGCAAUGUCUGCUGUGGGCACUGAAGGGGUUAUAAGGGCACAGGUGCUGACUCCACCCUAGAAGGCGAUCUCCUCAAUCUUCUCUGUCUAGAAACGGGGUUAGGAGAACAUUUAACUGAAAAAAGCGACUUCUAAAAUGUCCCCAAGACCCGGUGGUGGAGGUUGUGUAAACCCGGGCAAUGUCUUGUGUGUCCGUGCCCGCUGUGGUUUCGGAUCCAGGGGUCGAUCUGAAACUUGGGCGUUCACCUGCCAUCCCUCCGGUUGGGGGCUACUGGGGGCAGUUGGGAACGUCCCCUCUGCAGGUGGCCUUUCUGGAGGGCUGGCCUUCGUGGGGACGACCUCACGGAGCCGCGGGUCAGAAGUCUGCGCCCAGCUCGCCUCGCGGUCCUCCCCGCGGCCCUCUGUCCACCCCCCAGGGUCUGGGUGCCAUCUCGUGGCAGCGUCGGGCUCCUAUGGCCUCUUUGUAAUGCGAGCUGGACGUGGUGACCCCGGAGACAGCUCCCUGCUUUCUCAGGUCACCCGGGGCUCUGUGUCCUCUGUCGCCCUCCAGAUCUGAGGCCCAAGUCCAGCCUCUCUGGGCUCUGGCCUUGUCCACCCAGAGUGAGCCUGGCUCCAGUGGCACACGCCAGGUGGGACGUCGGUGUCCUCUGCCCCGCCCUGGUGCUGGGCCAGCCUGGUGCUGCAGUUCGACCAUCUCCCGGUUCGUGGCUGGUUUACAGACACUGCCUCUGAUUUUCACUGUCACUUGGCAGAUGACCUUGGACCAUGUGUGCUGGGCCCAGGGAGUUGGCACUGGUUGGGGGACAGCAACUGAGGCUGGCGCUGGUGGCGUUGGUGCCUUCUGACCGAGAGCUGGAGUCUUGCCAAUGCUCGGGGGGCGCCCGCUGGCCCUGAAGCUCACAUCCCUCCAUCCAUUUCUGACAGUGUUGCCCUCCGAGCCUUAGUCCACCUGUUCACCAGGGCUCAGUCUGAGGGUGUGUUGGGCUCAGAGGUGCUGGUUAAGGGGCGGCCGCAUGGGGCUCGUGGUCUGCGGCGCUCUGGUUGCCCCCACCCCCAGCUGGGUGCUCCAGGUGCCCUAGGGGCUUGGCGGCCCCCCGGCUGCACGGGACGGGGUCCGUUUGAGGAAGGAGUGUGCUCGCAUCUCUCCAGCCCUGGCGCUCCUGUGGGGUCUUCCUGUGGUGGCCUCUGGCCGCAGUGGCUCCGGUCACGGGUUGGCUGUCAGCAGGAAGCUGGGUGGAGGUGGCUGGCCCGGUGGAGGGGACAGGCCCACGUGGGGACGGUGGCCGGAGCAGGCAGGGCAGCAGACAGGCCACGAGUCGGGCAGGGAGGUGUGGGUGCCCCUGGCCUGACCCUUGGGUUCGGGGCUGCAUGCACCGCAGAGAAGCAGGGCCUUGGGUCCCAGUCCCUGGGGGGUCGGGCGUGUGGGCGAGCUGGGGACGUGGGCGGGCACCAGAGCCCCCACCUACCUGGGAGGCCCAUAUCCUGCCCAGCUGCCCUUGCAGCCCCCACACGGGAGGGUCGCACCUCCUACCUGCCCAGCUUGGGGCCACCGCUGCCCGGGGCCGCCAGGGCGAGCCCCUCCCUGGUCCUGGCGCCCGUCCUCCCAUCUCACCGUGACCGGGAAGGGCCGUUGCUGGCAGGGCGGCCUGCAGGUCUGCGCCUUCCCUCCAUGCGGCUCCCGUGGUCCCCAGCCCUCUGGGGACAAAGGUGGCCAUUUCUGAGUUUGGGGAGACAGGGAGGAGCAGAUGCGGGGUGACGUCACAUGGUUGUGUUUGCUCGUGUUUAAUAAUAAUAACAACCCCACGAAGGAGCUGCAGACUUAGAGAAAAGUUGCAAGUACGGUAAAAAUAACUUUUCCUGAAUCUCUAGAGUCAGUGGUGGCUCUCAGCCCCUUCGCCCUUCACGCUUUGGGGAGGGUCUCCAGGAAGCAAGGACCCCCUCCGACAGGCCCAGGCCACCGGGAGCCCGGCACCUGCCGGCCGGCGCUCGCCCCUUCACGGCUCACCUGGUGCCCCUGUUUUGAACCUCCAGUCCCCGUCGUGUGGGGCUCCCUGGUCGUGUCCAGUCUACCCGGACAGGUGCGCAGUUUCUUGACUUCAUGACCUUGAUACUUGAAGGUCAGCCAGUGACUGUAGAGUGGCUCCCAGGUUGGUUUUUCAUUCUUUUUUUUUGAGGAAGAUUAGCCCUGACCUAACUACUGCCAAUCCUCCUGUUUUUUUUUGCUGAGGAAGACUGGCCCUGAGCUAACAUUCAUGCCCAUCUUCCUCUACUUUAUAUGUAGGAUGCCUCCCACAGCAUGGCUUGCCAAGCAGUGCCAUGUCCGCACCCGGGAUCCGAACCAGCAAACCCCAGGCCGCCGAAGUGGAACAUGCGAACUUAACUGCUGCGCCACCAGGCUGGCCCCCCAGGUUGGGUUCAUGUGGGGUUUCCUCAUGGCGAGAUUUGGGUUCUACGUUUUUUGCAGGAAUGUCCCAGCGGCGCAUCUUGGUGGGUGGCGUCUGCCACCUCAGCUCGUCCGUGGCCCUUGUCCACUCAUCGCUUGGUUGAGGUGUGGCCGCCGGGCCGCCCAGUGACUCCCCCGUCGUCGUCACUGAGUGGGAAGCUGCUUUGAAACCACGUGACCAUCCCGUCCCUCAUCGGUCUUCCUUUAGUUACUCACCCCCCUUUUCCGUCUCUGUGCCCUGGGGUCCUUUCUGCGGUGGGUUCCGGUCUGCCACUGCAUUUGGUUUGAUGCUCAUGUUGUCCUCAUGUGGCCAGUGGGGACCCUUCAUCCAGUGUCCCUUUGCUCCGUCCCUGCCACCCUUUGAGUGUUUCCUUGCUUUCUGGCGUGAAAAGAUGCUCCAGCCUCAGCCCCAGGCCUGGGAGGAGCCGUUUCUCCAAGGACCCCCGUUCCCUUAGGUGGAGGAUGGGGUCUGGGAACCAAGACGCAGUGUGAGGGGUGCUCACGGCUCCUGGGUGGCUGCAUCUGGGCUCUCGGGGUGGACAGAGCUAGGGAAUAUAUGCCUCUGCCUGUCUGUCCGUCCAUCCAUCCAUCCGUCCGUCCAUCCAUCCAAUCUGUCGACACCUGUGAGAUGACACCAGCACCUCCAGUGUCAUCCCAACCCCCAUGCAUGGCCACGGGGUGCGUCCUGGUUUUCUCUCCUGUUCUCUGAGCAGUCCCACUUCUCCUUAGCCUGCGCACUCACUUGAUGAGCUCCCCUGUAAGCAGUCGGUCUCCCGCCGCCCUGCCCCCCUCCCCCAGACACGCCCUCCCCACCCCUGGGUGCUCCGCGAACGCCCUCCCACCACACCUCCAGGAAGGCGCUUUCCACCUGGGCCCUUUGCAGAUUAGGAGCGGCCAAGUCCACGUGCCACCGGAGAACUUGGCCAGCUCAUUGAGACCAAAUAAUUAAGUAAAUAAGUAAAUAAAUAGCAUUAGAAGAAAUGCUACUCUGUAUUCACACAUAGUAGGAUUGUCUAUAUAGAAAAGCCAAAAUCAUUAAGCAUAGUAAGAAUCCAGCAAAAUGGCUCACUGUGACAUUAAUACACUGAAAUCAGUUGCUUUUCUAAACACUAACAACUGUCAUAUUUAUUUUAAAAGAUACUGUAAAAGUGAUAUGAUUUAAGUAAGAAUAACAUCCUUAAGAUCCUUAAAAAUAAAUUGAACAAAAGAUGUUCAAGGUGGGGCUGGCCCAGUGGUGCGGCAGUUAAGUUCACAUGUUCCACGUCAGGGGGCCCGGGGUUCGUCGGUUCGGAUCCCAGGUGUGGACAUGGCACCGCUUGGCAAGCCAUGCUGUGGUAGGCGUCCCACAUAUAUGGUAGAGGAAGAUGGGCACGGAUGUUAGCUCAGGGCCAGUCUUCCUCAGCAAAAAGAGGAGGAUUGGCAGCCGAUGUUAGCUCAGGGCUGAUUUUCCUCACCACACACACAAAAUAAUAAUAAUUCAAGGCCUAUAUACAGAAAACUGGAAUUUCGCUAAAAUCUGUGAUUGUAAACUUGGAUAGAGGCAGCCCUGGUUUUCUCUUGCUGAGUGUUAGGUUAUCAGAUAGCCUAAGAUACUCCCCCCUUUGCUUGCUCACAGCCCUGCGGGUCAGACGUCCGGGCCCGACAUAGCAGGCCCUCUGCUCAAGCCGUCGGUCAGGCUGUGUUCCUUCUGGCUUCUCUGGGGAAGAGCCCAGGAACCAGAGGCUGCCUGCGUUCUUUGCCACCCGGCCCCCCAUCUUCAAAGUCAGCGACAGAGAACCUGCCACGAACCGAACCCCUCACCCAUGAACGUCUUCUUUAGCAAGAGCCCUGGCCUUUUACAGGUUCCCUGAUUAGGUCAGGCCCACCAGGACACUCUCCCUUUCUUAAAGUCAACUGUGCCAUAAAAUCAUCCCCCAAUCCCAGGAUGGCUCUCUGAGUCGCAGUCACUGGUUCCACCCACAUCCCCUGGGAAGAGAGUGGGGGUCACUGGGGGUCAUCUCAGAAUCCCGCCCACCAGGGUUUUGCUAUCUUCAUGGGUAGGAAGAGUUGAUAUUGUAAAAAUGUCAGUGUUCCCCAAAUUCGUGCAAACAUUUGUUAUAAUUCUAAACACAAUGCUGUGUUUCCCCUUAUAAAAUUUGACAAGCCAAUUGAAAAAUGUGACUGAGACAUGUGCGCAGAAAUAGCUAAGUCACUUCUAUCGAACACGGCAGAGGACCCCGAGGGCCUUGUUCCACCAGCGUCCCUGACUUACUGGCAAGAAAAGGGGACCCCGAGAGGCUGAUAGUGGUGCAGGGAGCAGCGGGGUUGAGAGCCCAGAGAGGGUGCCGCCUGCCUGUGGGGCUUUGAUGCACAGCCGGGCCUCGGUAGGAGGGACGGGUUACCCGGGAAAUGCCAUCUGAGUUCCGGUCCACGCGGAGGAGGGAAACAUCAGAUCCCGUCUCACACCUGCCACGUCCCAGCUGCGCGAGGCUAAAGCGUGGAGGGCAAAGUUCAGGACACUUAGAAGACAGCAUAGACGAGAGAAUACCAAUACACUCGACACACUUAAGAACGUCUGUCUGUAAAAGACGUCGUAAAGCCGACAGGCAAACCACAACCUGGGAGGACAGAUUUGGGACAGAUAUAAUGGAUCAAGGACUUAGAUAUUGACCACAAACAGCUCCUAAAAAUUAGCAAGAAAAAGAAAAACCAAAUAGAAAAACGGGUUGGAACUGUCUGCUCCCAGAAAAGUGAGCACCCAAGUCGUGUAGUCGUGUGAAAAGGGGUUCCGACUCACCAGGAGCUGGCGACACGGCCAGGAAGACCGCGGUGCGAUGCAUUUCAGCGUCGCUAGAUUCUCGAAAUUGAAGAAGGCCGGCCAUUCGAACAGUGGGACUUUUAUAUAUUCUUGGAGGAAAUUUAAAGGAUAUGACCUCUUUGCAAAAUAACUUGGCACUAUUUAUUAUAGUUGCAUAUGACAUACCUUGCAUUCCGCUAGGUACACACUCAAGAGAAACCCCUGGCCACGUAUGCUAGGUGGUAGAAUGUCCCAAAGAGAGUAUGAGUCCCAGCAAAAAGCUGGAUGCAAAUGUCCUCAACAGAAGGCACACAUAUGUUGAGGUUUAUUCACUUGAUGGAAUAUUAUACAGCAGUGAACAGGGAUGGACUCCAGCUACAAACAGCUACAUGAAGGAGUCUUAGGAACACAGUAUUGAGUGAACAUAGCAAGUUCCAGAAGACUCCAUAAGGCACAAUAUUAUUUCUAUAAAAUUCAAAACAGUAUACCAUAUGGGCAUGCACACAUUGGCGACGGGAUUACUCAAAAAUAAAACACAAGGGGGUGGUGAGCCUGGAAUCCAGCAGAAUGGUCACCUCCUGGGGAGCAAGGGACAGGAUGGGAAGGAACAGGGGUUGAUGCGAGUUCUGUGGGCGGGGUUCAAGGUCAUUGUGUUAUUGAACUUUAUAAUGUACAUGUAUUCUUCUGUACGUGCCAAAUAUGAAAAUAAAGGAAGCGCACGAGAG
RNAcentral lists this long non-coding RNA (6089 nucleotides) under Equus caballus (horse). Its description in RNAcentral is "lncRNA (ENSECAG00000058011.1)". The record is from RNAcentral. Lineage: Eukaryota; Metazoa; Chordata; Mammalia; Perissodactyla; Equidae.